This 1843-nucleotide long non-coding RNA is filed under the name Ananas comosus (pineapple). RNAcentral's name for it is "long non-coding RNA (ACOM_LNC031090)". The record is from RNAcentral. Lineage: Eukaryota; Viridiplantae; Streptophyta; Magnoliopsida; Poales; Bromeliaceae.
AAAUUUAUAGAUAAUAUUAUUUUAACUAGAAUAAUAUCGAUAGUAAAGGAAUAGUAUUUGCUAUCAAUUUUUUAGCCCUUGACUGGUCUCAAAUUCAUAGUUUAAUUGCUUCAUAUUUCGGGCUGAGUUCACUUCUAAUAAUGAAUGAAGUAAGUAGCAUACUAUCUCUCUCUUUCUAACAACAAAGAGCAGGUGAAUAUCGGACUAAAAUACAUCGGAUCUAUCGAUAACAAUCCAUGAACGGUUUAAAAUCUUUCUUCUUCUUUUUUUUUUUUGAGAGAGAUAGGUAGCAUGCUACCCCCUUCAUUUAUUUUAUUUAAAAAUAAAUUUAGCUGAAAAUGUGAAUCAACUAAGAUUCGAACUUGAGAGCUCGGGUACCAACCAGCCCUUUGUCACUUGCACAAUGGACGGUCGGUAAUCUUUCUUAAAAAUAUGAAUUCUUUUUCAAAACAUUUUUAUUAAAUUCCACAUUUAAAAAUGCCUAGAGGCUAGAGCUACGUACCUUGAGCCCAUUUUAAAAAUUUCCUUUUGGGCCACUCACUAGAAUGUUAGAUGUCUUUUAGAGUGUGUUUGGUUCGAGUUAUUCUGACAGGAUUACAGGCAAUCCUGCCAGGAUAACUAUGUUUGGUUAAUCCGCUAUGUAAUCUAGUCGUUAAUGUAGCAUUACAAAUCGAGUAGGAAUACAUCGAAAAUAUUAAUGGGAGGGUGGUCGUGUAUCUUGCAUUACUGAAACCCAUCAAUACUACAUAUUAUGUAAAAUAACAAUUUACCCUCCAACAACCCCAAAUCUAAUUAACAGUAUUAUUUUCAUCUCUCUCUCUCUCGCAUUCCCCCCUCUCUCUCACACGCCGCUUUCUCUCGCUCUCUCUCUCUCUCUCGACGUCUCUCUCUCUCUCUCUCUCUCUUUCUCUCUCUCGCACGAACACCUAUCAUCUUCUAUUGCGUCGUCCUCCCACGUAAUCAUCACGAUCUCCUUCCCUCCAUUCAUUAUUUUCGCAAAAAAUAAUAUUCAAAUGACCACAACAAGGGUAAUUUUGAAAAAAAUUAUACUUUUAUGUCAGGAUUACUAAAUUUAUAAACUGAACCAAACGUAUUAAUGCUAUAAACACUGUAAUCUAGUAUUACAUUACUGCAUUAAACCAAACGCGCUAAUGCAGCAUCAGUAGUAAUCUCACGCCGAAAUCCAAAAUACCUGGAUAUGUCGAGAUACUUGGUAAUAUUACAUAACUCGAAUCAAACGGGCCCUUAAGACAUCCUGUUUGGCCCAGAUUCUGUUGAAUGUGCUACUACUACCACUAUUUUUGGAAGCUAUUUAAUCCAAACAUUUUGGUUUCAAAUUGAACUAAAUUCAAGUGAAAAUUACUUUCUAAGGUAUCGUUUGGUUCGGGGAUAAGCAAAAAGUGGGUAUUCCGAGUAUAGAUAUAAAUUGAGGUAUAAGCGAGGAUUAGAUCAAUUUUGCGUUUGGAUGAAAAUUGAGUUAUUGCUGGGAAUAAGAAAAAUAACGUUUGGUUAGGUAAGAUGGGAUAAGAAUUAAAGUUGGUAGUUAAAAAUAAAAAAUAAUGAUAUUAUCUUUUUCUUUAUAUUAGAAUUUAAACUUGUAUAUUUUAUAUUUAUAUUUUAAAUUUUAAAAUAUAAACUUUUAAUUUAAAAGUUAAAAUUAAAAUUUUAAAUUUUAAAAUCUCAAAUUUAUAAUUUUAAAAAAUUAAUUUUUUAAAGUUUGAACAUUAAAUUUAAGAUGAAAUUUUAAUUUAAAAAAUAACAUAUCAAAUUCUAAAUAUAAAAAAAAUUUAAAUAUCAAAAUUUUAAAUUUUAAAUUAAAUAAUUUAAAAUUUAAAUUUUUAAU